UACGGAGGGUGCGAGCGUUGUCCGGAAUCACUGGGCGUAAAGGGCGCGUAGGUGGCGCGAGUAGUCAACGGUGAAAGCCCGGGGCUCAACCCCGGGUCGGCCGUCGAUACUCUCGUGCUUGAGCACUGUAGAGGCAGGUGGAAUUCCGGGUGUAGCGGUGGAAUGCGUAGAGAUCCGGAAGAACACCAGUGGCGAAGGCGGCUUCCUGGCCUGUUCUUGACGCUGAGGCGCGAAAGCUAGGGGAGCAAACGGG
This 253-nucleotide ribosomal RNA is filed under the name uncultured bacterium. Its description in RNAcentral is "partial 16S ribosomal RNA". It matches the Rfam family "Bacterial small subunit ribosomal RNA", at positions 524 to 776 of the family's 1533-position model. The record is from RNAcentral.